GUACUUACCAGGCAGGGAGAUACCAUGAUCACAAAGGUGGUUUUCCCAGGACAAGUCUUAUCCAUUGCACUCUGGAUGUACUGACUCCUGUGAUUUCCCCAAAUGUGGGAAACUCGACCGCAUAAUUUGUGUUAGUGUGGUACUGUGUUCGAGCUCUCCCUUG
This is a small nuclear RNA of Sorex araneus (European shrew), 163 nucleotides long. RefSeq annotates it as U1 spliceosomal RNA. Lineage: Eukaryota; Metazoa; Chordata; Mammalia; Eulipotyphla; Soricidae. The record is from RefSeq and is a predicted model, not a curated record. The transcript has a single exon.